UUCAGCUGUGAACGUGUAAACACACAGCCUCUUAACGUAAUAAUCCUGGUGAUAGAUUUGAGAUUUGUAUUUCACCUUUCACGCUGGGGCCAUCGGCGUGGAAAAUUCUUUCAAGUUCAGUUCAAUACCGGCAGUGCUGUAACUGGCAAAUAAACACAACUUCAAUUUACUGUGCAGACACAGGAAAAAUACGAUGGAGUUGGAAUUACCAGACUCUGAUGUUACGAGGGAAAGGAUCUUCGGGCAUGAAUUUAGCUGAGGGUCUCUCCUGUAGAGAGCUAUGCAGUAUUAACCACCACCUGAACACAGAAAUAAGCAAAAUAAUCUGGUUAAUAUUAGUUAAUAUUUCAGUGGAUUUUAAUGGGUCUUCUGACAGGUUACACUUCCCUAAGAGAGGAGCCUGGGGUUUCCUAUGACUGGUGGCCUGCGGUGCAGUCAACAAAAGGCUGCACAAGUACAUAGACUAAGCAGUUCGCCAAGUUUAGAAAUUUCUCUCUAAUAGCCACAUUAAUGAAAAGGAUAAUUAUCAGCAAUUCCUGCUAUGUGAUGGGAAUGUGUGAUGGCAGUGAAAAAUGCACACAGGCCCUGGAAAAUAACACCCAUGCUGAGGAUUAAGCGCUGGGACAAAUCUCUCUGAUCUCUGAAGGAAAAGGCAACAGAGCUGAUGGAGACUUAAUAGCUCUUUGCCUUUGAGUUAAAUACAUGAACAGAAGUGAUGAGGUUGGGUAGAAACUACUAAUAGAAAUAAGACAACACAAGCCUCACAGACAUUUAGUCUCUCCCAUAAAGGCAAGCUGCCUGCCAAGCAAGUAGGAAUUAGGAGAGUCUCCCAACCCUGUUGCUAUGUUCUCAUC
Molecule: long non-coding RNA, 854 nt
Organism: Empidonax traillii (willow flycatcher)
Lineage: Eukaryota; Metazoa; Chordata; Aves; Passeriformes; Tyrannidae
Exons: 3
Source: RefSeq, a predicted model, not a curated record